UACGUAGGGGGCAAGCGUUAUCCGGAUUUACUGGGUGUAAAGGGAGCGUAGACGGCAGGGCAAGUCUGAUGUGAAAGGUCGGGGCCCAACCCCGGGACUGCAUUGGAAACUGUCCGGCUGGAGUACAGGAGAGGUAAGUGGAAUUCCUAGUGUAGCGGUGAAAUGCGUAGAUAUUAGGAGGAACACCGGUGGCGAAGGCGGCCAACUGGGCUUUAACUGACGCUGAGGCUCGAAAGUGUGGGGAGCAAACAGG
RNAcentral lists this ribosomal RNA (253 nucleotides) under uncultured bacterium. RNAcentral describes it as "partial 16S ribosomal RNA". It matches the Rfam family "Bacterial small subunit ribosomal RNA", at positions 524 to 776 of the family's 1533-position model. The record is from RNAcentral.